GGGCGGUCUUUUGCUCCCGCAGAAGCCAAGAGGGAAACAGGUGAAAGUCCUGUACAGACCCGCUGCUGUAAGUCUCACGUACCAACGCCGUGCCAAGAUGCCACUACCGCAAGGUGGGAAGGCGGUACGACGGAGACAAGUCAGAAUACCUGCCGACCU
This 159-nucleotide non-coding RNA is filed under the name bovine gut metagenome. The record is from RNAcentral.